This 301-nucleotide ribosomal RNA is filed under the name uncultured bacterium. RNAcentral describes it as "partial 16S ribosomal RNA". It matches the Rfam family "Bacterial small subunit ribosomal RNA", at positions 509 to 808 of the family's 1533-position model. The record is from RNAcentral.
CAGUCGCCACGGUAAUACGGAGGGUGCAAGCGUUAAUCGGAAUUACUGGGCGUAAAGCGCACGCAGGCGGUUUGUUAAGUCAGAUGUGAAAUCCCCGAGCUUAACUUGGGAACUGCAUUUGUGACUGGCAAGCUAGAGUAUGGCAGAGGGGGGUGGAAUUCCCGGAGUAGCGGUGAAAUGCGCAGAUACCGGGAGGAACGCCGAUGGCGAAGGCAGCCACCUGGUCCACUUCUGACGCUCAUGCACGAAAGCGUGGGGAGCAAACAGGAUUAGAUACCCCAUAGUCCCUGUCUCUUAUACC